RNAcentral lists this ribosomal RNA (539 nucleotides) under uncultured Geobacteraceae bacterium. RNAcentral describes it as "bacterial SSU rRNA". It matches the Rfam family "Bacterial small subunit ribosomal RNA", at positions 9 to 526 of the family's 1533-position model. The record is from RNAcentral. Lineage: Bacteria; Pseudomonadati; Thermodesulfobacteriota; Desulfuromonadia; Geobacterales; Geobacteraceae.
GAGUUUGAUCCUGGCUCAGAACGAACGCUGGCGGCGUGCUUAACACAUGCAAGUCGAACGUGAUCCAGAGCUUGCUCUGGUGAAAGUGGCGCACGGGUGAGUAACGCGUGGAUAACCUGCCCUGGUAUCUGGGAUAACAUCUCGAAAGGGGUGCUAAUACCGGAUAAGCCUACGGACUCCUCGGAGUCUGCAGGAAAAGGAGGCCUCUAUUUAUAAGCUUCCGUAUCAUGAUGGGUCCGCGUACCAUUAGCUAGUUGGUGGGGUAAUGGCCUACCAAGGCGACGAUGGUUAGCUGGUCUGAGAGGAUGAUCAGCCACACUGGAACUGAGACACGGUCCAGACUCCUACGGGAGGCAGCAGUGGGGAAUUUUGCGCAAUGGGGGAAACCCUGACGCAGCAACGCCGCGUGAGUGAUGAAGGCUUUCGGGUCGUAAAGCUCUGUCAGAGGGGAAGAAAUGAAACGUGCUAAUAUCACGUUUUCUUGACGGUACCCUCAAAGGAAGCACCGGCUAACUCCGUGCCAGCAGCCGCGGUAAUAC